RNAcentral lists this ribosomal RNA (434 nucleotides) under uncultured bacterium. Its description in RNAcentral is "partial 16S ribosomal RNA". It matches the Rfam family "Bacterial small subunit ribosomal RNA", at positions 29 to 507 of the family's 1533-position model. The record is from RNAcentral.
AGCGAACGCUGGCGGCAGGCCUAACACAUGCAAGUCGAACGAACCUUUCGGGGUUAGUGGCGGACGGGUGAGUAACACGUGGGAACGUGCCUUUAGGUUCGGAAUAACUCAGGGAAACUUGUGCUAAUACCGAAUGUGCCCUUCGGGGGAAAGAUUAAUCGCCUUUAGAGCGGCCCGCGUCUGAUUAGCUAGUUGGUUGAGGUAAUGGCUCACCAAGGCGACGAUCAGUAGCUGGUCUGAGAGGAUGAUCAGCCACAUUGGGACUGAGACACGGCCCAAAAUACUACGGGAGGCAGCAGUGGGGAAUCUUGCGCAAUGGGCGAAAGCCUGACGCAGCCAUGCCGCGUGAAUGAUGAAGGUCUUAGGAUUGUAAAAUUCUUUCACCGGGGACGAUAAUGACGGUACCCGGAGAAGAAGCCCCGGCUAACUUCGUG